UUAAAGGGGCCUCGCCUGCGCGCGCCUCUCCCGCCUCGGCCUUUACCACUCUCCGCACUCCUCCCCUCCCCCCAACUGGGCCACCCCUACCCUGGGGUCCCGGAGAGCAGGGGACUUCUCCGUGACCCCAAGUUUGCAUUGCCAGCCUCGCACCGGGCAGAGAUUUUACAUAGACCUAAUCUCGACAUCAUUAAGGUUCCCUGCCUGCGGAUCAGAAGGUGAACCUGGGUCUUUGUGCUCUGGCCUCCGGGGAGACCACUUCGCCGUGCUCUCAGCGACCAGUGGAGGCGCGCUGGUGUCACUGCCUCGCUUGGAGUACCACUUUCCCAGCUCGAAUCCAUCACUCCGAUUGUCAGGCCUGUCACUCGGGGCAUAUUGCUCCAGGACUACCCGUCCCUGACUCUGCUGCUCGUUGAUCAACGCCCUGCGAUCACAUGAGAACCAAGACGGGGAUAGAUGAUUUCAAAGGGGUCCUUCCAACAGAAUGAAACAACUGUCAUGGAAAUAACAAAUAGCAAUCACGAACCUUUAUCAUGUUCCGUAAAGGAGGCAGCAGGCACCACUCCCAGGCCCUAUCCGUCAUACGCUCAACUGAAUGUACUCCCUGGAUGCGUCUGUUUUUUAGACAGUAUGCAUAGACCUCUAAAAAAUUACACAGGCUUUCCCUACCCUAACUUUCAUCCUGGUAAAAUUAGGUUACAAUGAAUGCCAGGGGAUGUCCUGACUGGGUGAUGUAUUCCAUAUUGCAGCAAGAGGGGUACCAGAAGGAGGGGGGGCCCACUUAUUUCAUUGUGGUUGUCCUUAUUCCCCACCCCCAUCUCUUCUCGUGCCAGCUUCUGAGUACUCUAACGUCCCUGCCACUGCCAACACCAAUUUUAAAUGUCCAUUGCAGGGCUGCUUCAGUCUUAGAGGUCAUUUGGCCUUUGGGAGACUGCUCUGCAGAGAGAGGAAGUGAGAAUGGAAGAGGGUGGGCCUUUGUAGGCAUUUAGAGGAGGAACUGGGAAGAGGGGCACCCUUGGAGACAGGAAGAGAUGAAAGACCCCUUCUUGAUGAUUGUAACCAGCUCAGCUGUGAGUGCCAGCCAAGAACUCCUGCUAGGGCCCAAGCAGAUGUGUGUUGGGA
Non-coding RNA from Sus scrofa (pig), 1122 nucleotides. The record is from RefSeq and is a predicted model, not a curated record. NCBI's taxonomy places the organism in Eukaryota, Metazoa, Chordata, Mammalia, Artiodactyla, Suidae.